GAUGAACGCUGGCGGCGUGCCUAAUACAUGCAAGUCGAGCGAACAGACGAGGAGCUUGCUCCUCUGACGUUAGCGGCGGACGGGUGAGUAACACGUGGAUAACCUACCUAUAAGACUGGGAUAACUUCGGGAAACCGGAGCUAAUACCGGAUAAUAUAUUGAACCGCAUGGUUCAAUAGUGAAAGACGGUUUUGCUGUCACUUAUAGAUGGAUCCGCGCCGCAUUAGCUAGUUGGUAAGGUAACGGCUUACCAAGGCGACGAUGCGUAGCCGACCUGAGAGGGUGAUCGGCCACACUGGAACUGAGACACGGUCCAGACUCCUACGGGAGGCAGCAGUAGGGAAUCUUCCGCAAUGGGCGAAAGCCUGACGGAGCAACGCCGCGUGAGUGAUGAAGGUCUUCGGAUCGUAAAACUCUGUUAUUAGGGAAGAACGAAUGUGUAAGUAACUAUGAACGUCUUGACGGUACCUAAUCAGAAAGCCACGGCUAACUACGUG
RNAcentral lists this ribosomal RNA (497 nucleotides) under uncultured bacterium. Its description in RNAcentral is "partial 16S ribosomal RNA". It matches the Rfam family "Bacterial small subunit ribosomal RNA", at positions 28 to 507 of the family's 1533-position model. The record is from RNAcentral.